RNAcentral lists this ribosomal RNA (389 nucleotides) under uncultured bacterium. RNAcentral describes it as "bacterial SSU rRNA". It matches the Rfam family "Bacterial small subunit ribosomal RNA", at positions 28 to 417 of the family's 1533-position model. The record is from RNAcentral.
GACGAACGCUGGCGGCGUGCUUAACACAUGCAAGUCGAGCGGUAAGGCCCUUUCGGGGGUACACGAGCGGCGAACGGGUGAGUAACACGUGGGUGACCUGCCCUCAGCUCUGGGAUAAGCCUGGGAAACCGGGUCUAAUACCGGAUAUGACUCCAUGACGCAUGUUGUGGGGUGGAAAGCCUUGUGCGGCUGAGGAUGGGCCCGCGGCCUAUCAGCUUGUUGGUGGGGUGAUGGCCUACCAAGGCGACGACGGGUAGCCGGCCUGAGAGGGCGACCGGCCACACUGGGACUGAGACACGGCCCAGACUCCUACGGGAGGCAGCAGUGGGGAAUCUUGCGCAAUGGGGCGAAAGCCUGACGCAGCGACGCCGCGUGAGGGAUGACGGCCU